UUGAACGCUGGCGGCAGGCCUAACACAUGCAAGUCGAGCGGAUGAAGGGAGCUUGCUCCUGGAUUCAGCGGCGGACGGGUGAGUAAUGCCUAGGAAUCUGCCCGGUAGUGGGGGAUAACGUCCGGAAACGGGCGCUAAUACCGCAUACGUCCUGAGGGAGAAAGUGGGGGAUCUUCGGACCUCACGCUAUCAGAUGAGCCUAGGUCGGAUUAGCUAGUUGGUGGGGUAAAGGCCUACCAAGGCGACGAUCCGUAACUGGUCUGAGAGGAUGAUCAGUCACACUGGAACUGAGACACGGUCCAGACUCCUACGGGAGGCAGCAGUGGGGAAUAUUGGACAAUGGGCGAAAGCCUGAUCCAGCCAUGCCGCGUGUGUGAAGAAGGUCUUCGGAUUGUAAAGCACUUUAAGUUGGGAGGAAGGGCAGUAAGUUAAUACCUUGCUGUUUUGACGUUACCAACAGAAUAAGCACCGGCUAACUUCGUG
RNAcentral lists this ribosomal RNA (483 nucleotides) under uncultured bacterium. RNAcentral describes it as "partial 16S ribosomal RNA". It matches the Rfam family "Bacterial small subunit ribosomal RNA", at positions 30 to 507 of the family's 1533-position model. The record is from RNAcentral.